GCUACCGUCAUUUUCUUGACUCAUAAAAGGAGUUUACACACCGAAAUGCGUCAUCCUCCACGCGGCGUUGCUGCAUCAGGGUUUCCCCCAUUGUGCAAUAUUCCUC
RNAcentral lists this ribosomal RNA (106 nucleotides) under uncultured bacterium. Its description in RNAcentral is "partial 16S ribosomal RNA". The record is from RNAcentral.